Molecule: microRNA precursor, 98 nt
Filed under: Equus caballus (horse)
Lineage: Eukaryota; Metazoa; Chordata; Mammalia; Perissodactyla; Equidae
Description: mir-544 microRNA precursor family
Rfam family: mir-544 microRNA precursor family
Source: Rfam by way of RNAcentral
AUCACCUGGGAUUCUUGUUAAAAUGCAGAUUCUGAUUCAGUUAGUCUGAAGUGGAAUCCUGAGAUUUUGCACUUCCAACAAGCUCCCAGUGAUGCUGA